UUAGCGGCGGACGGGUGAGUAACGCGUGGAUAACCUGCCUCAUACAGGGGGAUAACAGUUAGAAAUGACUGCUAAUACCGCAUAAGCGCACAGGACCGCAUGGUCCGGUGUGAAAAACUCCGGUGGUAUGGGAUGGAUCUGCGUCUGAUUAGCUGGUUGGUGAGGUAACGGCCCACCAAGGCGACGAUCAGUAGCCGGCCUGAGAGGGUGAACGGCCACAUUGGGACUGAGACACGGCCCAAACUCCUACGGGAGGCAGCAGUGGGGAAUAUUGCACAAUGGGGGAAACCCUGAUGCAGCGACGCCGCGUGAGUGAAGAAGUAUUUCGGUAUGUAAAGCUCUAUCAGCAGGAAAGAAAAUGACGGUACCUGACUAAGAAGCCCCGGCUAACUACGUGCCAGCAGCCGCGGUAAUACGUAGGGGGCAAGCGUUAUCCGGAUUUACUGGGUGUAAAGGGAGCGUAGACGGUGAAGCAAGUCUGAAGUGAAAGGUGGGGGCUCAACCCCCGGACUGCUUUGGAAACUGUUUGACUGGAGUGCAGGAGAGGUAAGUGGAAUUCCUAGUGUAGCGGUGAAAUGCGUAGAUAUUAGGAGGAACACCAGUGGGGAAGGCGGCUUACUGGACUGUAACUGACGUUGAGGCUCGAAAGCGUGGGGAGCAAACAGGAUUAGAUACCCUGGUAGUCCACGCGGUAAACGAUGAUCACUAGGUGUCGGUGAGUAUAGACUCAUCGGUGCCGUCGCAAACGCA
This 750-nucleotide ribosomal RNA is filed under the name uncultured bacterium. Its description in RNAcentral is "bacterial SSU rRNA". It matches the Rfam family "Bacterial small subunit ribosomal RNA", at positions 92 to 859 of the family's 1533-position model. The record is from RNAcentral.